This 251-nucleotide ribosomal RNA is filed under the name uncultured prokaryote. RNAcentral describes it as "partial 16S rRNA". It matches the Rfam family "Bacterial small subunit ribosomal RNA", at positions 525 to 775 of the family's 1533-position model. The record is from RNAcentral.
ACGUAGGGGGCAAGCGUUAUCCGGAUUUACUGGGUGUAAAGGGUGCGUAGGCGGGAAAGCAAGUUGAAUGUGAAAUACCGGGGCUCAACUCCGGGGCUGCGUUCAAAACUGUUUUUCUUGAGUACAGCAGAGGAAAGCGGAAUUCCCAGUGAAGCGGUUUUAUGCGUCGAUUUUGGGAGGAACACCUGUGGCGACGGCAGCUAGCUGGGCUGCAACCGAUACUGAUGCACGGAAUUGUGCGGAGCAAACAG